Molecule: long non-coding RNA, 697 nt
Filed under: Nicotiana tabacum (common tobacco)
Lineage: Eukaryota; Viridiplantae; Streptophyta; Magnoliopsida; Solanales; Solanaceae
Description: long non-coding RNA (NTAB_LNC008632)
Source: RNAcentral
GAAAAUUUCUUCAGUUCAUUGAAAUAAGGCCACAGACUACAAUUACAUUCACACAAACUACCAGUUAAGACACAUUCAAAAUAUAUCAACCACCAUUACAAACACAAAAUACAAGAGCUAAGACAUAGAUGACAUAAUGUCAUCAAAACUCUUCUACUCCAACCAUGUGUAGAACUACAACAACUUCAACGAUCGAAGGCACAAUAGCAAACCCAGAUAAUUAGCACUAUUACUAUAACAGAAGCCAAUUUCUUCCUCCAUAUUCUUGCUCGAUUCCUUUCUUCUUCAAAAGCUUUGACCCUGUUCAAUAAACCCCAAAUAGCCCUAUUCGUUUUUCUAGGAAACUCGUCAUUAACCUACCUAAAAUAGUUACAUCCACCUUUGUCCUUCAAAAAAAAAAAGAAAUUGAUUCAAACUAAAAUCGGGGACAACAUAGUAAAAAUAAUUAAUUGUAGUUAAUUAACACUUACCUUUUAAAUUUUGCAUCCAUAGAACCUCCUUCAAGGAUUAGAUGGAGACCAUGAAGUUUUUAAUUGACAUUCAUGAUCACACCGACAUGAAUCGAUUCUUGGUGUGAGAGACAUUAUCCACAAAAUUGAGAGAUUAAGCAAAAAUCUGAACACUCGGGCGAGACUACUUUCAAUUUGGAGAGAAGACUAGAAUUUUUAAACCAAAAAAUCAAGAAAAGGGUGAAGAA